GAUGAAGAACGUAGCGAAAUGCGAUAAGUAAUGCGAAUUGCAGAAUUCAGUGAGUCAUCGAAUCUUUGAACGCACAUUGCGCCCCUUGGUAUUCCAUUGGGCAUGCCUGUUCGAGCGUCAUUUACACCCUCAAGCCUAGCUUGGUGUUGGGCGUUGUCCGCAAGGACUCGCCUCAAAUUCAUUGGCAGCGGCAUCGUCAGCUUCUCGCGCAGCACAUUGCGCUUCAGAAGGCUUCUGGCGGGCUCGCGUCCACUAAGAUACCACCCAGUUUGACCUCGAAUCAGGUAGGGAUACCCGCUGAACUUAAGCAUAUCAAUAAGCGGAGGA
RNAcentral lists this unclassified non-coding RNA (327 nucleotides) under soil metagenome. Its description in RNAcentral is "partial contains 5.8S ribosomal RNA, internal transcribed spacer 2, and large subunit ribosomal RNA". The stretch from base 1 to 120 matches the Rfam family "5.8S ribosomal RNA", at positions 35 to 154 of the family's 154-position model. The record is from RNAcentral.